CCUACGGGAGGCAGCAGUGAGGAAUAUUGGUCAAUGGACGCAAGUCUGAACCAGCCAUGCCGCGUGCAGGAAGACGGCUCUAUGAGUUGUAAACUGCUUUUGUACGAGGGUAAACGCAGAUACGCGUAUCUGUCUGAAAGUAUCGUACGAAUAAGGAUCGGCUAACUCCGUGCCAGCCGCCGCGGUAAUACGGAGGAUUCAAGCGUUAUCCGGAUUUAUUGGGUUUAAAGGGUGCGUAGGCGGUCGGAUAAGUUAGAGGUGAAAUCCCGAGGCUCAACUUCGGAAUUGCCUCUGAUACUGUUCGGCUAGAGAGGAGUUGCGGUAGGCGGAAUGUAUGGUGUAGCGGUGAAAUGCUUAGAGAUCAUACAGAACACCGAUUGCGAAGGCAGCUUACCAAGCUACUUCUGACGUUGAGGCACGAAAGCGUGGGGAGCAAACAGGAUUAGAUACCCCAGUAGUC
RNAcentral lists this ribosomal RNA (460 nucleotides) under uncultured bacterium. RNAcentral's name for it is "partial 16S ribosomal RNA". It matches the Rfam family "Bacterial small subunit ribosomal RNA", at positions 338 to 795 of the family's 1533-position model. The record is from RNAcentral.